This 75-nucleotide transfer RNA is filed under the name Tetragenococcus muriaticus. RNAcentral describes it as "tRNA-Ala". It matches the Rfam family "tRNA". From Rfam's summary of the family: Transfer RNA (tRNA) molecules are approximately 80 nucleotides in length. Their secondary structure includes four short double-helical elements and three loops (D, anti-codon, and T loops). Further hydrogen bonds mediate the characteristic L-shaped molecular structure. tRNAs have two regions of fundamental functional importance: the anti-codon, which is responsible for specific mRNA codon recognition, and the 3' end, to which the tRNAs corresponding amino acid is attached (by aminoacyl-tRNA synthetases). tRNAs cope with the degeneracy of the genetic code in two manners: having more than one tRNA (with a specific anti-codon) for a particular amino acid; and 'wobble' base-pairing, i.e. permitting non-standard base-pairing at the 3rd anti-codon position. Lineage: Bacteria; Bacillati; Bacillota; Bacilli; Lactobacillales; Enterococcaceae. The record is from RNAcentral.
UGGGGCCUUAGUAUAAUGGGAUUACGUUUGGCUGGCAGCCAAAUAAUACGGGUUCGAUCCCCGUGGGCUCCAUCC